This 387-nucleotide long non-coding RNA is filed under the name Chinchilla lanigera (long-tailed chinchilla). Its description in RNAcentral is "lncRNA (ENSCLAG00000029177.1)". Lineage: Eukaryota; Metazoa; Chordata; Mammalia; Rodentia; Chinchillidae. The record is from RNAcentral.
AGCCUUACACGCACUUCCUUAUGGAAAGGGGCCAUGUCCCCAGAAGCCAGUUCCAGGGGCCUUGGCAGGGACUGGACAUUGCAGAGCUUGGAGAUACCGUGCUGGGCUCUACUGUGUGGAGACAGGAGGCGCAGAGAGAAACAGGACUCAUCAUUAUUAUUUUUAUGGAUCACUUUUUCCAUUGUCGUCUCCUGGCAGACCCAGGCCUGGCUUUACCACGGAACCUAGCCCUGAAGGAGAAGCAGCGUGCAUGGGAAGUGCAUCCACCUUGGGGCUGGACUACCUGCAUUCACAUUCAGGACUGGCAUUCCUUACCAUCAGGCUAAGCAGGCCACUCAAUCUCUCGGAACCUCACUUUCCUCACCAUUAAACUGUUAUCGAUCUUGC